Long non-coding RNA from Monodelphis domestica (gray short-tailed opossum), 343 nucleotides. RefSeq lists it as uncharacterized. The record is from RefSeq and is a predicted model, not a curated record. Lineage: Eukaryota; Metazoa; Chordata; Mammalia; Didelphimorphia; Didelphidae.
AGCAAAUUUUAAAGAUGAGGCAGCCGAAGCAAGGAGGUGUAAAUGACUGGCUUAGGGUCACCGAACUGCUAUAUGAGGAGAAAGUGUUUUCCUUAGAGGACUCAAAUUCACAACAGUGCCUUAUGGAGACACAAUCAAAAUGAAGAAGAAAAGUGACACAAUUUGAGGGAUAAUUCAAAGUCCAGGGAUUACCGAGGUGAUCUACUUCUUAGAAAUGAUUAAGAAGACCUAAGUUUCAUUUCCUGGAAAGGUGAAUUUUUCCCAUUAAAGAUGUAAUUAUUCAAUCAAGAUAUUUUGACUUUUCCAUGUAGACUAAUUGUAGAAUAAACACAUUGUACUUACA